CCUACGGGUGGCAGCAGUGGGGAAUAUUGCGCAAUGGGCGCAAGCCUGACGCAGCGACGCCGCGUGAGGGAUGAAGGUCUUCGGAUCGUAAACCUCUGUCAGCAGGGGAGAACGGUCACUUUGCUAAUCCGCAGUGAAUUGACGGUACCUGCAAAGGAAGCACCGGCUAACUCCGGGCCAGCAGCCGAGGGAGUACGGAGGGUGCGAGCGUUAAUCGGAAUUAAUGGGCGUAAAGCGCUCGUAGGCGGGCUUUUAAGUCAGCGGUAAAAAUUCGGGGCUCAACCCCGUCCGGCCGUUGAAACUGGGGGCCUUGAGUGGGCGAGAGGAAGGCGGAAUGCGUGGUGUAGCGGUGAAAUGCAUAGAUAUCACGCAGAACCCCGAUUGCGAAGGCAGCUUUCCGGCGCCCUACUGACGCUGAGGCACGAAAGUGCGGGGAUCGAACAGGAUUAGAUACCCGGGUAGUC
This 464-nucleotide ribosomal RNA is filed under the name uncultured bacterium. RNAcentral's name for it is "partial 16S ribosomal RNA". It matches the Rfam family "Bacterial small subunit ribosomal RNA", at positions 338 to 795 of the family's 1533-position model. The record is from RNAcentral.